GGUUGAUCCUGCCAGUAGUCAUAUGCUUGUCUUAAAGACUAAGCCAUGCAUGUCUAAGUAUAAAUAAUAUACAGUGAAACUGCGAAUGGCUCAUUAAAACAGUUAUAGUUUAUUCGAUAAUCUUUCUACAUGGAUAACCGUAGUAAUUCUAGAGCUAAUACAUGCUGCUAAACCUGACUUCUGGAAGGGUUGUAUUUAUUAGAUAUAAACCAAUGCCCUCGGGCGUUGUGAUGAUUCAUAAUAACUGAGCGAAUCGAGGCCGUGCCUUGAUGGAUCGUUCAAGUUUCUGCC
This 291-nucleotide ribosomal RNA is filed under the name uncultured eukaryote. Its description in RNAcentral is "partial 18S ribosomal RNA". It matches the Rfam family "Eukaryotic small subunit ribosomal RNA", at positions 6 to 311 of the family's 1831-position model. The record is from RNAcentral.